Molecule: long non-coding RNA, 731 nt
Filed under: Ananas comosus (pineapple)
Lineage: Eukaryota; Viridiplantae; Streptophyta; Magnoliopsida; Poales; Bromeliaceae
Description: long non-coding RNA (ACOM_LNC009841)
Source: RNAcentral
CCAAAUGUAAAAAGACCAAUAUUUCAUGAAUUUCAAUUAUUAGAAUAAUAUUCUAGUUUUCUAAUUUUCUUUCAACUUGUCAUCCAGCAGUAAAGCUGACAAUCUAACUUACUAUUUGCAAGCGAUUCCGAAUUCAGUUCGUUAACAAACAAGUCGAUCACGAGCUAAAUUUCUCAACUCGAUAUAUAUUUUAGCAAGCUGGGUCGUGCUUANUUUAAUGGAAAGUCAAUAUAUCCUUUAUAUAAAGACAGUACUAAUUCUAUCACCUUCUUAUGUACAUUCUGGUAAAGAAUUAUCUUAUGUUUUAUAUCUAAUGGCAGAAUGUCUGAAAGAGAAAGAAAAAUCAAAUUACCCAUGUUCUAUCACCUUCUUACGUACAUUCUGGUAAAGAAUUAUCUUAUGUUUUAUAUCCAAUGGCAGAAUGUCUGAAACAGAAAGAAAAAUCAAAUUACCCAAGAUUUUGUUGGCGACGUUUAUAUCGCAUUUGGACUUUUCGCUUCUAUAAAUUUUUUUUUUUUUUUUAGAGAUAGGUAGCACGCUACUUGUUUCGUUUAUUUCAUUUAGAAAUAAACUUAGCUGGAAAUGUGAAUCAACUAGGAUUCGAACUUGGGUCUCAGGUACCAACCACCAAGCCCUUUGCUGCUUGCUCUAGGGACAGUCGGUCGCUUCUAUAAAUUGAUCAAGAAUGUAUUCUCUAGCUAUAAUACUCUGCGAGUUGUAUUUUGUUCUGC